CAUCAGGAAUGAAGACCCCUCCUCUUGCGACCUAUUCACUCUGAUGCUGCCGAUCACUCUCAUUCAUCAGCUACAGUAGGAUCGAUGCACGCUAUAUGGAUGAAGACAUAUGCAGCCAUUGUGAAAUGUAGAGAUAGAUCGGGAGACCAACAUCGUGGUACACGGUUUCUUAUCCAACAACUAGAUUUGUGUUGGGAUGAGCAGUGGCAAAGAACAUGUGAAUUGGCCUUUGUUUGGACCAUGAACAUAGCGUCUGGCUUCUGCAGAGGGUGAGAAUUUAUACAUUUUUAAGUUUGAUUAACUAUACUUGGAAAUUGACAUGUGCAGU
Molecule: long non-coding RNA, 328 nt
Filed under: Oryza brachyantha (malo sina)
Lineage: Eukaryota; Viridiplantae; Streptophyta; Magnoliopsida; Poales; Poaceae
Description: long non-coding RNA (OBRA_LNC000521)
Source: RNAcentral